UCGAUUCCUGGCUCGAGUCCUAGCUCGAGUCCUGGCUCGAGUCCUGGCUCGAGUCCUGGCUCGAGUCCUGGCUCGAGUCCUGGCUCGAGUCCUG
Non-coding RNA from Paramuricea clavata, 94 nucleotides. The record is from the annotation of a GenBank genome assembly. NCBI's taxonomy places the organism in Eukaryota, Metazoa, Cnidaria, Anthozoa, Malacalcyonacea, Plexauridae.